RNAcentral lists this unclassified non-coding RNA (332 nucleotides) under soil metagenome. RNAcentral's name for it is "partial contains 5.8S ribosomal RNA, internal transcribed spacer 2, and large subunit ribosomal RNA". The stretch from base 1 to 120 matches the Rfam family "5.8S ribosomal RNA", at positions 35 to 154 of the family's 154-position model. The record is from RNAcentral.
GAUGAAGAACGCAGCAAAAUGCGAUAAGUAAUGUGAAUUGCAGAAUUCAGUGAAUCAUCGAAUCUUUGAACGCACAUUGCGCCCGCCAGUAUUCUGGCGGGCAUGCCUGUUCGAGCGUCAUUUCAACCCUCAAGCACAGCUUGGUGUUGGGACUCGCGUUAAUUCGCGUUCCCCAAAUUGAUUGGCGGUCACGUCGAGCUUCCAUAGCGUAGUAGUAAAACCCUCGUUACGGGUAAUCGUCGCGGCCACGCCGUUAAACCCCAACUUCUGAAUGUUGACCUCGGAUCAGGUAGGAAUACCCGCUGAACUUAAGCAUAUCAAUAAGCGGAGGA